RNAcentral lists this ribosomal RNA (253 nucleotides) under uncultured bacterium. RNAcentral describes it as "partial 16S ribosomal RNA". It matches the Rfam family "Bacterial small subunit ribosomal RNA", at positions 524 to 776 of the family's 1533-position model. The record is from RNAcentral.
GACAGAGGGUGCAAACGUUGCUCGGAAUCACUGGGCGUAAAGGGCGUGUAGGCGGGCAGGUAAGUCGGGCGUGAAAUCCCUGAGCUCAACUCAGGAACUGCACUCGAAACUACUUGUCUUGAGUACCGGAGAGGAAAGCGGAAUACCUGGUGUAGAGGUGAAAUUCGUAGAUAUCAGGUGGAACACCAGUGGCGAAGGCGGCUUUCUGGACGGUAACUGACGCUGAGACGCGAAAGCGUGGGGAGCAAGCAGG